Molecule: long non-coding RNA, 635 nt
Filed under: Homo sapiens (human)
Lineage: Eukaryota; Metazoa; Chordata; Mammalia; Primates; Hominidae
Description: HSALNT0377843
Source: RNAcentral
GAUGGGGCGAAGGAGGAAAAGUUCUUUUUGCGGCACCCUCACGCCUUCCCAGCCCUUUCGCGGUUUACUCGCUCCCCGGAAAGCAGGGCAUUCAAGCAGCCCUGAGGAGAGGUCCACAUGGUGAGCCACUGAGGGCCUUGCCAAGAGCCAGCACCAACGGUCCAGGUUUGGAGUGUACCACCUUGGAAGUGAAUCUUCCAGUCCAGUCAAGCCUUCAGAUGACUUCAGAACCGUCCAUGUAAGCCACUCUUGGAUUCCUGACCCACAGAAACUGUUGGAGAACAUCACCUGUAGUCUUGCCAGUGAGAUCAAACUGAAGUCCAAUUAACCUCUGGAUCCAGCUGCCAAUUUGCAGGAAAUAGAGGAGAGAAGCAUCUGUUGAACUGCACCAUGAGUAUACACUCAGCAAAGGCCAAACUGUGGAAAAUGAUACAGGUCAAACAGCCUGGAUUCUUUAACAGUAAGUGAUGUUUCUGAAGCACCAAUGAAAAUGAAGUCCUGAAGUCCUGUGCUCAAUAUGAAAUGUUGGAAGUUAGAAGAAAAAAACAAAACUUGGAUCCAAUCUCAAGGCACUUUUUGUUUAAUGGGAAGAAGUGGAUUAUUUUAAAAGCUACAAAUAAAGUUACAUAAAAGUA